UUCUUAUUGGAUGAUGACUAUCACAUGUUAUGUUUUGAUUGGAUGUCAAUUCCAUGAAAGAUCAAAUGAAUUGUUGUUUUUAUUGACUAAUCAGAACAUGACACGUGGUUAACGGUCAACGUCC
Glycine soja is the source of this 124-nucleotide non-coding RNA. NCBI's taxonomy places the organism in Eukaryota, Viridiplantae, Streptophyta, Magnoliopsida, Fabales, Fabaceae. The record is from Rfam.